GCACAGCCAGCGACAACCCAUUUCUAUACAUCUCUGAGAGCGCUUGAGCAGCAGCAUCACAACGAUAGCAGGCCGGCCCAUUUCGGCGUAGCAGAGCCCACCCCGCAACCUUUCUUUUGUUUUUUCUUUCUUCUCCUUGUGCCGCUGACAUGGGGGUCCCCGGCCUCAUCUCCUUCACUGGACGAACUCCCGCACACGCAUGAGAGCUCCUCUAUCCCUGAUCCAAAUUCUCCUUUUGAAUCAGCCGACUUCUUGCCCUAGUGCAUGCUGAUGACCCUAUAUAAGAUCACCCCCCCCCCCCCCUCUGCAGAUUUUUCUUUGUUUCGCCGCCUCCCGUGCCCUAGAACGACACCCAGAUCUCACCGGAGUUCGCCGCCGUCUGAAGCUUCUGUCGGUCGAUUGCAUCACCUCUGGAGGGAAGCAAACACUCGAGUGCUUCGAGCUCGCCCCAGCGAACACCCCACCACCUGAGCUCCAGCCACCCUCUAUCGUCAUCCCCGCUCGCCACCGACGCCGCUGAGGACGUCGUCGAGACCGCAGUAGAGCUCCGCGCCUCGUACGCUACCCGUCGGAUUUUGGAGACCACCGGAGCAGCCACGACCAUCGCCACCCGAGCCACCGCGCCGCCGUUUUGUACAAGUCCGACUGCCCUGCCCUUGUUUCUCCGGAUUUUCAGAUGACCAAUGAGAUACAGUAGGGUCACGAAUCUUCACUCAGCAUUUUCACCAGCGGGCAUUGAUGGGACUCAUCGUCUAUUAUGCUACAUUUCCGCUGUUAUUAUUGAAUAAAGCUAGGUAUGUGCUACUCAGUUUGUAAUACUUUAUAAAUUCUGGAUCAUACGUUUAGUAAAUGAUGCACUUGUUACUUUGA
Molecule: long non-coding RNA, 870 nt
Organism: Triticum urartu
Lineage: Eukaryota; Viridiplantae; Streptophyta; Magnoliopsida; Poales; Poaceae
Source: RefSeq, a predicted model, not a curated record